CCGCACUGCAAGUGAGGGGGAUUGUUUGGCUUUGACUUUCAAAAAUCGCCGGAGAAGAAUGUUCUUUGUCUCGGGCUGUUUGAAAGGAGCUGGAAGCUGUAGAGUUUUCCAUGUAACAUUUUCAGGCUGAUGUUGAGCACAGGUACCAAAAACCGUGAAGAGUGCAACCACAGAUGAGGGGGGACUACUGUUCAUGAGCCAAGUCAGCUGUCAGAAGAGUUCCAAAUCUACCAGGAAGGAGCCUGUCUCAGAAGCCCUGCAGAGCUCAGUCAUUGGCUGGGAUGCUGGAAGAUGUCAGGUGGCGUAGAGCGAGUGACCACCUGCAGACCAACAGAGGAGGCCUCAGAAUAAAACCUACCUUGCUGGCACCAGGAUCUUGGACUUUCCAGCCU
Phacochoerus africanus (Common warthog) is the source of this 392-nucleotide long non-coding RNA. RefSeq lists it as uncharacterized. The record is from RefSeq and is a predicted model, not a curated record. NCBI's taxonomy places the organism in Eukaryota, Metazoa, Chordata, Mammalia, Artiodactyla, Suidae. The transcript has 3 exons.